CAGCAGCCGCGGGAAUACGAAGGGUGCAAGCGUUAAUCGGAAUUACUGGGCGUAGAGCGUGCGUAGGCGGUUUGUUAAGUCUGUUGUGAAAUCCCCGGGCUCAACCUGGGAAUGGCAAUGGAUACUGGCAAGCUAGAGUGUGUCAGAGGAUGGUGGAAUUCCCGGUGUAGCGGUGAAAUGCGUAGAGAUCGGGAGGAACAUCAGUGGCGAAGGCGGCCAUCUGGGACAACACUGACGCUGAGGCACGAAAGCGUGGGGAGCAAACAGGAUUAGAUACCCGCGUAGUCCCUGUCUCUUAUCA
Molecule: ribosomal RNA, 301 nt
Filed under: uncultured bacterium
Lineage: Bacteria
Description: partial 16S ribosomal RNA
Rfam family: Bacterial small subunit ribosomal RNA
Source: RNAcentral